UACGUAGGGUGCGAGCGUUAAUCGGAAUUACUGGGCGUAAAGCGUGCGCAGGCGGUUUUGUAAGUCAGAUGUGAAAUCCCCGGGCUUAACCUGGGAAUGGCAUUUGGGACUGCAAGGCUUGAGUUUGGCAGAGGAGACUGGAAUUCCUGGUGUAGCAGUGAAAUGCGUAGAUUUCAGGAGGAAUACCGAUGGCGAAGGCAGGUCUCUGGGCUGAAACUGACGCUCAUGCACGAAAGCGUGGGGAGCAAACAGG
This 253-nucleotide ribosomal RNA is filed under the name uncultured bacterium. RNAcentral describes it as "partial 16S ribosomal RNA". It matches the Rfam family "Bacterial small subunit ribosomal RNA", at positions 524 to 776 of the family's 1533-position model. The record is from RNAcentral.